AACGAACGCUGGCGGCAUGCCUAACACAUGCAAGUCGAACGAAGGCUUCGGCCUUAGUGGCGCACGGGUGAGUAACACGUGAGCAACCUGCCCCUGGCUCUGGGAUAGCCUCCGGAAACGGGGAUUAAUACCGGAUACGACCCCUUCGGACAUCUGAAGGGGUGGAAAGAUUUAUCGGCUAGGGAUGAGCUCGCGGCCUAUCAGCUUGUUGGUGGGGUAACGGCCCACCAAGGCGACGACGGGUAGCCGGCCUGAGAGGGCGACCGGCCACACUGGGACUGAGACACGGCCCAGACUCCUACGGGAGGCAGCAGUGGGGAAUAUUGCGCAAUGGGCGAAAGCCUGACGCAGCGACGCCGCGUGGGGGAUGAAGGCCUUCGGGUUGUAAACCCCUUUCAGCAGGGACGAAGCGAAAGUGACGGUACCUGCAGAAGAAGCGCCGGCUAACUACGUGCCAGCAGCCGCGGUAACACGUAGGGCGCAAGCGUUGUCCGGAAUUAUUGGGCGUAAAGAGCUCGUAGGCGGUCUGUUGCGUCCGCUGUGAAAACUCGGGGCUUAACCCCGAGCCUGCAGUGGAUACGGGCAGACUAGAGGUAGGUAGGGGAGAAUGGAAUUCCCGGUGUAGCGGUGAAAUGCGCAGAUAUCGGGAGGAACACCGGUGGCGAAGGCGGUUCUCUGGGCCUUACCUGACGCUGAGGAGCGAAAGCGUGGGGAGCGAACAGGAUUAGAUACCCUGGUAGUCCACGCCGUAAACGUUGGGCGCUAGGUGUGGGAUCCUUCCACGGAUUCCGUGCCGCAGCUAACGCAUUAAGCGCCCCGCCUGGGGAGUACGGCCGCAAGGCUA
Molecule: ribosomal RNA, 844 nt
Filed under: uncultured bacterium
Lineage: Bacteria
Description: bacterial SSU rRNA
Rfam family: Bacterial small subunit ribosomal RNA
Source: RNAcentral